RNAcentral lists this long non-coding RNA (2714 nucleotides) under Trifolium pratense (red clover). RNAcentral's name for it is "long non-coding RNA (TPRA_LNC013608)". The record is from RNAcentral. Lineage: Eukaryota; Viridiplantae; Streptophyta; Magnoliopsida; Fabales; Fabaceae.
ACUGGUGUUCUGCAUUUAAUUUGUUGGCAGAAUGCUGGAGUUCUCAUUUGAAUUUUCUGUUUUAAGGUGUUUCCAAUUGUGUAUGAGUUAUUCUCUGUUGGCAAACUUCAUUUUCAUUUCAGUUAUUCUCUGUAUUUUAGUGUCCAGUCUUUUUUGUUUUCGUUCCAUGGUUGUUACGUGCGAGAGAUAUUGAUGUGCGAGUAGGGUUGCUGGUUUUAUCUGAAUAGUUCAGCUCACUACUGUUUCCUUACAUUAAUGUUUCUGUAUGACAUCUUUCUGUAUUACACGAUUCUGGAAAAGUUGGGACAACUUUGUGGUAUUGUAUUUGUGAUAUGCUGAUCAGAGGCUUGGUUUAGAGAAUUAUGCUAAUCUUUUGUCUUUUUUCUUCUUUUUUUUCUACAACUAUUUGCCACACUACCCCAUCAUUGUACUGUUUUCUUAUAUUUAGGUUUUUGACAUAUAAUUGACAGUGCGAAAGUUUACUCAAUUCUGAAGAAAGUGGACAGCUUUGUGGGGUUUUUUUCUAGCCGUGAUCUAAACGUCUUGAUAUGAAGGUGUCCCCUGCUAGUUUAGCAGUUUUUGCAUCAGGAGUGUGAGUGUGUAACAUACAAGAUUCUAAGCCUUUUGAAUUUAAUGGGUUUUGUUUCUUCCUUGAAUGUAGAUGCCCAUCUCUUUCUUGGAUAAUCAAGAUAUACACGUCUGUUUUGCAGUAAGCUGAUGACCUUGGAGGUUGCUGUUCUUAUUUUAAUGACCUACUGCUAUUAACGUAUCAAUUUUCUUCAAUGAGUGUCCUUCUUUGUUGUUUUUAUUUUUUCUUGGGUUUGAUGUAAGAUAAAUGAAUUGAAUUGUGAACGUGUUUUUCUGCAGCAUGGUUCUUCAAUAACUUUCUUAUGGAUCCUCUGCUUUUGUGAAAUGGUGAUUUCUAGUAAAAAAUAUUCAUUUCAAUCUUUUUUCAUUAAUUCUUAUUAUUUAUGCUUAUUCUCAUAUUGUAGCCAUCAAGAAUUAUUUCUAUAAAUUUAUUGAUAUAAUUCCUCAUUAGAUAAUAGAUAAUUGAGACGUGUGUUGUCGGUUUUGCAGCGAGCUAAAGUCCAAAUAGCGAUUCUUGAUUGAGUAGAUAAAGAACAGAGAGAGAACAAUCAGAUAUAUAAAUCUUGAUUGAGUAGAUAAGAACAGAGAACAACCAGAUAGAUAAAUCAAAUUUCUUCAAUGAAUCAUUCUUUUUUAAUUUUUAUUUCUUGGCUUUGAUGCAAAAUAAAUGAAUUGAACUUUGAACAUGUUUUCUGCAGCUUGGUUUGUCAAAAUAAUAACUUUCUUCAUAGCAUGGCGCCUCGAGAUUUGGUUAGAUAAUAGAUAAUUGAGACGCGUGUUGUCGAUUUUGCAGCGAGCUGAAGUCCAAAUAGCCAUUCUUGAUUGAACGGAUAAGAACAGAGAAUAAUCAGAUAGAUAAAUCGAAUUUCUUCAAUGAAUCGUUCUGUUUUAAUUUUUAUUUCUUGGCUUUCAUGCAAAAUAAAUUAAUUGAACUUUGAACGUGUUUUCUGCAGCUUGGUUUGUCAAAAUAAUAACUUUCUUUAUAGCAUGGAGCCUCGAGAUUUGGUUUGGCGGUAUUUAGUAAAAACAUUUGUUGCAAUUUUCUUUAUUGAUUCUUAUAUCAUAUGAUUUGCUAUUAACUCUUUGGUUCUGCAGGAGAAGAUGUGAUCUUAAUUUUUCAAUUCUAAAGUUUGCCUGUUGUGUUCAAUUCUCUUUUGUUUCUUGAUUUCUUGAUCUGUUGGCCAGGUUGUUCUUUCCAUGAUUGCUUAAUUUCGGGGUUGCUAUAAACGAGAAUAGGAGAUUGUUAGUGAUAUGCUUUUAUCACCGUCGUUAUCAACAAAUUCAGCAAUCACACUUCUCUCGACUCUUCUUUUAAAUCAGUUAUCAAGAAUUAUUUGUCUAAAUAAUGUAUAUAAUUCUUCAUAAUUGGAUAAUCGAGAUACACUUCUUAUCCAUUUUGCAGUGAGCUGAGAAGUCUUCUAUUCUAGCACAGAUAAGAACGGAGAAUGACACCAAUAGAUAAAUCAGUUUUUUUUUCCCAUUAGUUGUUCUUCAUUUUUAUUUCUUGGAUUCACAUAUAUGAAUUGAAAUUUGAACAUGUUUGCUAUGUCCGUGAUUUGUCAAGUUAAUAAAAUUGUACAUAGCAUGGAGCCUAUCAUUUUUGAUUUGGUGAUAUCUGUUCAAUAUUUUUUUGUUUUAAAAUUUCUUCAUCCACUCUGAGAGUAUAUAUAUGUUGAUUUGUUAUUUACUCUUUGGUGUUUCAGGAGAAGUAGUCAAUGAACAUAUGAUUUCGUCGGGUUCUGUAUCUUCGUCUUCUGUGAUUUUCAUGUGUUGCGUUCGUAUUCUUUUUUUGUUGAUUAUUUGGUUCUCUUAAUUCUGAAGUUUGAUUUGUUUAUUGUUGGUUUCAAUUUUGGAGUUUGUUGUUUUGUUUAAUUUGUUGGCAGAAUGCUGGAGUUCUCAUGUGAAUUUAUUGUUUUAAGGUGUUUCCAAUUGAACAUCAGAUAAUGGUAAUAAUGUUUUGCGAAACUUGACACAUGAUUACCACGCCAGGUUGAAUUGUGAAUUGAAACUGUCUGUUUUCUACCAUGUAGUUUUUUUUACAUUCUUCUUGAUUGCGAAACUUGCUAUGUAGUAUCAAGCAAUCAGGUUCAUUUUGGCAAAAUCUUCUUGAUUGUGAAUCAUUUUAC